Solanum lycopersicum (tomato) is the source of this 117-nucleotide non-coding RNA. NCBI's taxonomy places the organism in Eukaryota, Viridiplantae, Streptophyta, Magnoliopsida, Solanales, Solanaceae. The record is from Rfam.
AAGAGAAGAGCUUGUCAAGUUAGCUAAAGAUGACCUGCCUGACCCCAUGAACGAAAGGACACAUUUCGGAAAUGGUGCAGACAAGUCAUCCUUGGCUACCAAAUAAGACUCUUUUCA